Molecule: transfer RNA, 76 nt
Rfam family: tRNA
About the family: Transfer RNA (tRNA) molecules are approximately 80 nucleotides in length. Their secondary structure includes four short double-helical elements and three loops (D, anti-codon, and T loops). Further hydrogen bonds mediate the characteristic L-shaped molecular structure. tRNAs have two regions of fundamental functional importance: the anti-codon, which is responsible for specific mRNA codon recognition, and the 3' end, to which the tRNAs corresponding amino acid is attached (by aminoacyl-tRNA synthetases). tRNAs cope with the degeneracy of the genetic code in two manners: having more than one tRNA (with a specific anti-codon) for a particular amino acid; and 'wobble' base-pairing, i.e. permitting non-standard base-pairing at the 3rd anti-codon position.
GCCGAUGUAGCUCAGCUGGUAGAGCAAUCGCUUCGUAAGCGAUGGGUCGUCGGUUCGAAUCCGACCAUCGGCUCCA